UACGUAGGGUGCGAGCGUUAUCCGGAAUGAUUGGGCGUAAAGCGUCUGUAGGUGGCUUUUAAGUCUGCCGUCAAAUCCCAGGGCUUAACCCUGGACAGGCGGUGGAAACUACCAAGCUGGAGUACGGUAGGGGCAGAGGGAAUUUCCGGUGGAGCGGUGAAAUGACGUAGAGAUUGGAAAGAACACCGAUGGCGAAGGCACUUUACUGGGCUAUUACUAACACUCAGAGACGAAAGCUAGGGUAGCAAAUGGG
This 253-nucleotide ribosomal RNA is filed under the name uncultured bacterium. RNAcentral describes it as "partial 16S ribosomal RNA". It matches the Rfam family "Bacterial small subunit ribosomal RNA", at positions 524 to 776 of the family's 1533-position model. The record is from RNAcentral.